Molecule: ribosomal RNA, 170 nt
Filed under: Coprinellus disseminatus
Lineage: Eukaryota; Fungi; Basidiomycota; Agaricomycetes; Agaricales; Psathyrellaceae
Description: partial large subunit ribosomal RNA
Rfam family: Eukaryotic large subunit ribosomal RNA
Source: RNAcentral
CGGGAAAAGCUCAAAUUUAAAAUCUGGCGGUCCUUGGCCGUCCGAGUUGUAAUCUAGAGAAGUGUUACCCGCGUCGGACCGUGUACAAGUCUCCUGGAAUGGAGCGUCAUAGAGGGUGAGAAUCCCGUCUUUGACACGGACUACCGAGGCUUCUGUGGUGCGCUCUCAAA